Molecule: long non-coding RNA, 931 nt
Filed under: Mytilus galloprovincialis (Mediterranean mussel)
Lineage: Eukaryota; Metazoa; Mollusca; Bivalvia; Mytilida; Mytilidae
Source: RNAcentral
AAAAACAAAAACAAACAAAAUAAAAUUAUAGGAAAAAUAUAACAACUACAUAAGUAUAGUUUAAUUUUAUCCUAAACCUCUAUCCAUCAUUUCUUACAGAUAGUACAGGGUGAGGGUUCACAAAAUAGGGAACCAGGGGUGGAUACAGCCAUUUUGAAAAGGGGUUCCCUACCCAGGAUAAAGGGGGGUUCCAACUAAAUGUCCCCUUUCAAAUGCAUUGAUUGUCCAUAAAAAGGGGAGAUUCCAAUCCCGGAACCCUAUCCCUGGAUCCGCCACUGGGAACUAUGGCUAAAAGUAUAAAAAAAAAUUGGAGAACUAUGACUAAAGGAACAAAGAAUAGAGAAAAUUGACUGUAAUAAGGAAUAGAGCAAAUGACAUGCUAGUCAAAAUAAUAUGACGUCUGACAAGGCUAUUUUAUUUUUUAUCUGGGACGCCUUCCUACGCAUCCCAGAAAAAAAUUAUAAAAUAUCCUAGCCAGACGUCAUAAUAUUAUUUGAACUAUUGAUGUGCUAAUUUUAUAUAUUGAGAAAAGAGAAAUGAUGGACAAAAAGUAUAAAAAAAAUAGAGACAAAUGAGCGUAAAGAAUAAAUGAUAAAGUAAUGGAAAACACCCCAUCCAGACCCUUGUUUAUCUGAACAACAGAACUAUUAUUUUUGCUGAAUAGUGCAUAUAGGCAUUUCCCAUUUGAAUGGUUUUACAGUAGUAAUUUUAGGGCCCUUUUUAGCUUGUUGUUCGGUGUGAGCCAAGGCUCCGUGUUGAAGGCCGUACAUUGACCUAUAAUGGUUUACUUUUAUAAUUUGUUAUUUGGAUGGAGAGUUGUCUCAUUGGCACUAACACCACAUCUUCCUAUAUCUAUGUAAAAUAUCUUUUAAAGAUUUCAGGUAUAUGAAAUAUUAACCAGUAGGACAGUAUAAAUUCUGUCCCUCCUUCC